Molecule: ribosomal RNA, 460 nt
Filed under: uncultured bacterium
Lineage: Bacteria
Description: partial 16S ribosomal RNA
Rfam family: Bacterial small subunit ribosomal RNA
Source: RNAcentral
CCUACGGGUGGCAGCAGUGAGGAAUAUUGGUCAAUGGCCGAAAGGCUGACCCAGCCACGUCGCGUGAGGGAAGAAGGUUCUCUGGUUGUUAACCUUUUUUUGUAGGGGAAUACAGGUAUCCACGUGUGGAUAUUUGCAUGUACCCUACGUAUAAGCCUAGGCUCACUCCGUGCCAGCAGCCGCGGUUAUACGGUGGCUGCGAUGGUUAACCGGAUUUCUUGGGUUUAAAGGGUGCGUAGGAUGUUUUUUAAGUCAACGGUGAAAUGUUGGGGCUCAACGAGAGAAUUGCCGUUGAAACUGGAAGACUGGAGUGUGUUAGAGGUAGGUGGAAUGCGAGGUGUAGCGGUGAAAUGCAUAGAUAGCACGCAGAACACCGAUUGCGAAGGCGACUUACUAAGCCAUAACUGACGCUGAGGAACGAAAGCGUGGGGAGCAAACAGGAUUAGAUACCCGGGUAGUC